RNAcentral lists this ribosomal RNA (445 nucleotides) under uncultured bacterium. RNAcentral's name for it is "partial 16S ribosomal RNA". It matches the Rfam family "Bacterial small subunit ribosomal RNA", at positions 354 to 796 of the family's 1533-position model. The record is from RNAcentral.
GUGAGGAAUAUUGGUCAAUGGGCGGGAGCCUGAACCAGCCAAGUCGCGUGAAGGAAGAAGGAUCUAUGGUUCGUAAACUUCUUUUGCAGGGGAAUAAAGUGCAGGACGUGUCCUGUUUUGUAUGUACCCUGAGAAUAAGGAUCGGCUAACUCCGUGCCAGCAGCCGCGGUAAUACGGAGGAUCCGAGCGUUAUCCGGAUUUAUUGGGUUUAAAGGGUGCGUAGGUGGUUUGAUAAGUCAGCGGUGAAAGUUUGCAGCUUAACUGUAAAAAUGCCGUUGAAACUGUCGGACUUGAGUGUAAAUGAGGUAGGCGGAAUGCGUGGUGUAGCGGUGAAAUGCAUAGAUAUCUCGCAGAACUCCGAUUGCGAAGGCAGCUUACUAAGCUACAACUGACACUGAAGCACGAAAGCGUGGGGAUCAAACAGGAUUAGAUACCCUAGUAGUCC